GACGAACGCUGGCGGCGUGCUUAACACAUGCAAGUCGAACGGAAAGGCCCUGCUUGCAGGGUACUCGAGUGGCGAACGGGUGAGUAACACGUGGGUGAUCUGCCCUGCACUUCGGGAUAAGCCUGGGAAACUGGGUCUAAUACCGGAUAGGAGCCAUUUUUAGUGUGAUGGUUGGAAAGUUUUUUCGGUGUAGGAUGAGCUCGCGGCCUAUCAGCUUGUUGGUGGGGUAAUGGCCUACCAAGGCGGCGACGGGUAGCCGGCCUGAGAGGGUGGACGGCCACAUUGGGACUGAGAUACGGCCCAGACUCCUACGGGAGGCAGCAGUGGGGAAUAUUGCACAAUGGGCGCAAGCCUGAUGCAGCGAAGCCGCGUGGGGGAGGACGGCCUUCGGGUUGUAAACUCCUUUCGCUAGGGACGAAGCUUUUUGUGACGGUACCUAGAUAAGAAGCACCGGCUAACUACGUG
This 465-nucleotide ribosomal RNA is filed under the name uncultured bacterium. Its description in RNAcentral is "partial 16S ribosomal RNA". It matches the Rfam family "Bacterial small subunit ribosomal RNA", at positions 28 to 507 of the family's 1533-position model. The record is from RNAcentral.